UCUACACUGGAUUUUAAUUUAAUUGGGAAGAACAAUGAACACAUAUGUCCCUACCCUGGUCAUGUUUCUGUGCCUGCAGCUGGACGGGAUGAGCCGAGGUGAACAGGUGGAGCAGCGUCCUUCAAUCUUGAGUGUCCAGGAGGGAGCCCGUGCUGUUAUCAACUGCACUUACACAGACAGUACCUCAAGCUACUUCCCUUGGUACAAGCAAGAACCUGGGAAGGGUCCUAAGCUCCUCAUGGACAUUCGUUCAAAUAUGGAAAGAAAGCAGAACCAAAGACUUGUAGUUUUAAUGAAUAAGAAAGCAAAAAACUUUUCCCUGCACAUCACAGACACUCAGCCUGGAGACUCAGCCGUGUACUUCUGUGCAGCAAGUGCACACUGCUCCACGAGCACCUGCAGGCUGUCCUCAAACCUGCUAAGGGGCCAGGAGCUCCAUCUACAUCCUGUGUCACAGGCCUUGCAGUGA
Acomys russatus (golden spiny mouse) is the source of this 469-nucleotide non-coding RNA. The record is from the annotation of a RefSeq genome assembly. NCBI's taxonomy places the organism in Eukaryota, Metazoa, Chordata, Mammalia, Rodentia, Muridae.